Molecule: ribosomal RNA, 316 nt
Filed under: uncultured bacterium
Lineage: Bacteria
Description: bacterial SSU rRNA
Rfam family: Bacterial small subunit ribosomal RNA
Source: RNAcentral
GAUGAACGCUAGCUACAGGCUUAACACAUGCAAGUCGAGGGGCAGCAUUUUAGUUUGCUUGCAAACUAAAGAUGGCGACCGGCGCACGGGUGAGUAACACGUAUCCAACCUGCCGAUAACUCGGGGAUAGCCUUUCGAAAGAAAGAUUAAUAUCCGAUAGCAUAUCAAGAUCGCAUGAUCUUGAUAUUAAAGAAUUUCGGUUAUCGAUGGGGAUGCGUUCCAUUAGUUAGUUGGCGGGGUAACGGCCCACCAAGACGACGAUGGAUAGGGGUUCUGAGAGGAAGGUCCCCCACACUGGUACUGAGACACGGACCAG